AUGAGGGCUUCAAAACCUGUUUUCUCUCUCCAUUCGAGGCAUGCAGUUAUCCAAGAAGAGCUCAUCGAUGGGAUUGCUGACAUUGAUGGAGGUGAUAACUGGAGGCAACCAGCUCUUCUAAGGCUUGCUCUUGAUGAUGUGCUUGAUUCUCUAAAGCCAAAGGAGAGCCUAGUGAUUAGACAGAGAUAUGGACUCGAUGGUAAAGGUGACAGAACAUUAGGGGAGAUUGCUGGUAACUUAAACAUCUCAAGAGAAAUGGUUAGAAAGUAUGAAGUGAAGGCGCUCAUGAAACUCAAGCACCCAGCUAGAGUGGAUUAUCUUCGCCGUUAUGUUGUCUGAACUAAUUAACUUCACAAGGUUUGCUUUCAUUGCUUAUGAUUAUUCAUCACCAGUUGCUGUAUACUGAUGACAUGUAUCAUAGUCAUUCUAACUACAUAAAUUAAAUAGAGAAAUCCCAUACAAUGUAAUAUACUUAUGCAGAACUUGGAGAUUUCAAAUCACCACAUAUACAU
This 512-nucleotide unclassified non-coding RNA is filed under the name Hevea brasiliensis (rubber tree). The record is from RNAcentral. Lineage: Eukaryota; Viridiplantae; Streptophyta; Magnoliopsida; Malpighiales; Euphorbiaceae.